RNAcentral lists this ribosomal RNA (253 nucleotides) under uncultured Lactobacillus sp. RNAcentral describes it as "partial 16S ribosomal RNA". It matches the Rfam family "Bacterial small subunit ribosomal RNA", at positions 283 to 524 of the family's 1533-position model. Lineage: Bacteria; Bacillati; Bacillota; Bacilli; Lactobacillales; Lactobacillaceae. The record is from RNAcentral.
AUAGCCGAGUUGAGAGACUGAUCGGCCACAUUGGGACGUGAGACACGGCCCAAACUCCUACCGGGAGGGCAGCAGUAGGGGAAUCUUCCACAAUGGACGCAAGUCUGAUGGAGCAACGCCGCGUGAGUGAAGAAGGGUUUCGGCUCGUAAAGCUCUGUUGUUGGUGAAGAAGGACAGGGGUAGUAACUGACCUUUGUUUGACGGUAAUCAAUUAGAAAGUCACGGCUAACUACGUGCCAGCAGCCGCGGUAAU